RNAcentral lists this ribosomal RNA (253 nucleotides) under uncultured bacterium. RNAcentral's name for it is "partial 16S ribosomal RNA". It matches the Rfam family "Bacterial small subunit ribosomal RNA", at positions 524 to 776 of the family's 1533-position model. The record is from RNAcentral.
UACGAAGGGGGGCUAGCGUUGCUCGGAAUCACUGGGCGUAAAGGGUGCGUAGGCGGGUUGGUAAGUCCGUGGUGAAAUCCCCAGCUUAACUUGGGAACUGCCGUGGAUACUAUCAAUCUUGAAUAUCGUGGAGGUAAGCGGAAUAUGUCAUGUAGCGGUGAAAUGCUUAGAUAUGACAUAGAACACCAAUUGCGUAGGCAGCUUACUACACGAUCAUUGACGCUGAGGCACGAAAGCGUGGGGAGCAAACAGG